Molecule: ribosomal RNA, 301 nt
Filed under: uncultured bacterium
Lineage: Bacteria
Description: partial 16S ribosomal RNA
Rfam family: Bacterial small subunit ribosomal RNA
Source: RNAcentral
CAGCAGCCGCGGUAAUACGAACCGUGCGAACGUUAUUCGGAAUCACUGGGCUUAAAGCGCGUGUAGGCGGGAGGGCACGUCCGUCGCUGAAAUCCCCCGGCUCAACCGGGGAACGGGCGCGGAUACAACUCUUCUGGAGGAACGUAGGGGGACCUGGAACUUCCGGUGGAACGGUGAAAUGCGUUGAGAUCGGAAGGAACGCCCGUGGCGAAAGCGAGGUCCUGGACGUUUACUGACGCUGAGACGCGAAAGCUAGGGGAGCAAACGGGAUUAGAUACCCGGGUAGUCCCUGUCUCUUAUU